GACGAACGCUGGCGGCGUGCCUAAUACAUGCAAGUAGAACGCUGAAGAGAGGAGCUUGCUCUUCUUGGAUGAGUUGCGAACGGGUGAGUAACGCGUAGGUAACCUGCCUUGUAGCGGGGGAUAACUAUUGGAAACGAUAGCUAAUACCGCAUAACAAUGGAUGACACAUGUCAUUUAUUUGAAAGGGGCAAUUGCUCCACUACAAGAUGGACCUGCGUUGUAUUAGCUAGUAGGUGAGGUAAUGGCUCACCUAGGCGACGAUACAUAGCCGACCUGAGAGGGUGAUCGGCCACACUGGGACUGAGACACGGCCCAGACUCCUACGGGAGGCAGCAGUAGGGAAUCUUCGGCAAUGGGGGCAACCCAGACCGAGCAACGCCGCGUGAGUGAAGAAGGUUUUCGGAUCGUAAAGCUCUGUUGUAAGUCAAGAACGGGUGUGAGAGUGGAAAGUUCACACUGUGACGGUAGCUUACCAGAAAGGGACGGCUAACUACGUG
Molecule: ribosomal RNA, 497 nt
Filed under: uncultured bacterium
Lineage: Bacteria
Description: partial 16S ribosomal RNA
Rfam family: Bacterial small subunit ribosomal RNA
Source: RNAcentral